AACGAACGCUGGCGGCAUGCCUAACACAUGCCAGUCGAACGAGACCUUCGGGUCUAGUGGCGCACGGGUGCGUAACGCGUGGGAACCUGCCCUUAGGUUCGGAAUAACUCCCCGAAAGGGGUGCUAAUACCGGAUAAUGUCUUCGGACCAAAGAUUUAUCGCCUUUGGAUGGGUCCGCGUUGGAUUAGCUAGUUGGUAGGGUAAAAGCCUACCAAGGCGACGAUCCAUAGCUGGUCUGAGAGGAUGAUCAGCCACACUGGGACUGAGACACGGCCCAGACUCCUACGGGAGGCAGCAGUGGGGAAUAUUGGACAAUGGGCGAAAGCCUGAUCCAGCAAUGCCGCGUGAGUGAUGAAGGCCUUAGGGUUGUAAAGCUCUUUUACCCGGGAUGAUAAUGACAGUACCGGGAGAAUAAGCGCCGGCUAACUCCGUG
This 433-nucleotide ribosomal RNA is filed under the name uncultured bacterium. RNAcentral's name for it is "partial 16S ribosomal RNA". It matches the Rfam family "Bacterial small subunit ribosomal RNA", at positions 29 to 507 of the family's 1533-position model. The record is from RNAcentral.